Molecule: ribosomal RNA, 440 nt
Filed under: uncultured bacterium
Lineage: Bacteria
Description: partial 16S ribosomal RNA
Rfam family: Bacterial small subunit ribosomal RNA
Source: RNAcentral
CCUACGGGAGGCUGCAGUGGGGGAUAUUGCACAAUGGGGGGAACCCUGAUGCAGCGACGCCGCGUGGGUGAAGAAGCGCCUCGGCGCGUAAAGCCCUGUCAGCAGGGAAGAAAAUGACGGUACCUGAAGAAGAAGCCCCGUCUAACUACGUGCCAGCAGCCGCCGCGAUACGUAGGGGGCAAGCGUUAUCCGGAUUUUCUGGGUGUAAAGGGGGCGCAGACGGCGAUGCAAGCCAGGAGUGAAAGCCCGGGGCCCAACCCCGGGACUGCUGUUGGAACUGGGUGGCUUGAGUGCAGGAGGGGCAGGCGGAAUUCCUGGUGUAGCGGUGAAAUGCGUAGAUAUCAGGAGGAACACCGGGGGCGAAGGCGGCCUGCUGGACUGCAACUGACGUUGAGGCCCGAAAGCGUGGGGAGCAAACAGGAUUAGAUACCCCUGUAGUC